Long non-coding RNA from Drosophila subobscura, 2334 nucleotides. RefSeq lists it as uncharacterized. The record is from RefSeq and is a predicted model, not a curated record. The transcript has 7 exons. Lineage: Eukaryota; Metazoa; Arthropoda; Insecta; Diptera; Drosophilidae.
GAUGAGGGGAGGCUAACAUUGAGGCACAUCCUACACGGAGAGAGUUUGGCCAGUGAGAGUCUGUCAGCAUUAUGAAAAAAUAUCGUAUCCUGCAUCUCCUGGACAUCUUUGUUAUGAAAGAACGCCGUGGAUUUGCAGAGCAGGUCAGCCUAUGUGUAGGGAUACGCCACACAUUACACGCAAAAACCCUGCGGUAGCGGGGAAGGGUGAUGGAGCUUGAUGAGCUGGCCUUGACCUAUGGCACUCAUUUAUUUAAUGGCGAAUAAACGCUGCCAACUGCCCGAGAGUUCCUAUAACAAGCUACGCAAGGCCUUUGGGGAUGUGCAUGUCCCGGCACUCAAGAUCUUUGACGACAACGAUGAGCUGCAUCCCAUCGUUGGCUAUUCGCAGGUUGAGCUGUAUGAAGCAGUUAUUGGGCAUGGCCAUUCGUCUGACGCAGGCCUUUGUGGCUAUUUAAUGCUUGAUGGAGGGCUUUCGUCGGCUGUGUCUGCAUAUAUCAGGCCCAGAUGGUCACUCAGGGCAUGAGCAAGGAAUCAUACUUGCAAUAACUGCCGCACUUCAGUGUCCACAUAUAUUGUCGAGCGAUGCUGAGGAGAAAAUCGAAACCGUUUCCGGCAUCAUAGAGCUGGAGUUUGAGGAAUAAAGUGGUCUCUGGCAGCUCUACAAUACACAGAUGGCCGAUGGGGUCCGAUUCGCCAACAUUGAGCCAACUAUGUGAUCUACCUGGUUAUAGAACUUAAGUAUAUCAAAAGGCCGUCACCCAACUAAUUUUCGAUCAGAUAAACCAAGCCCUAAUUCCGCCUGACACCUAACAAAUCUCCCAUCGGACAUUAAAUGGUUCAAUUAUGUUCGUUGCACUGCAGCCACCUGGCGCCUUCUAAUUUGAAUAUAACCCAUAACACCGAGUUUUUGUCAGACAUCAUUAACAUACUCGAUAUAUUAGUAUCGAUAGUUCCCUUGAUCGUUUUGCAGCACUAGUUAUCGGCGCAGAAAAAACUACGGCGUUUCACAAUUUUACUGGAAAAACAACUAAAAUAACAAAAGCGAGUCUUUUGAAACAGCCAAUCUUCUAGAAAAUUGAUUCUUCUUUCUUAUGAAAUUAAAAGUUCAAUGUUGGGAGUCUUAUCUUGCUUAUAAUAUUAAAGAGAAUGUCAGAAUCGGGGAAUAUGAAUUCCAUCGGAAUAUUUGCGGUAUAUUUUGACUCUGAUAAAGGUAUUAUUCGGUAUACUUUUGAGGGUCAGUGGUAUAUUUGAUCGAUAAAACUGCGGUCACACUGCAAUAAGAACAUGCGCCAUAUUUCUCAAAACUUUAAAUUUAUUGUAAAAACCAUAACAAAAAGGAUAAAAAGGUAUCAAAAACCAAAAGUAAAACGAUAAACAGUCAUGACGGAUACCUCAGCAUAUCAAUUGCGAUACCUAAUCUUGGGCUGCAAGCUGAUGUACGAACAAUAGAGUCCAGCUUGUGACUGGCGAGGUCUGAUCCCUGAUGGGAAAGCACGUGGAUCGGUUACCGGCGCACUCUGGCUCCAACUGCACAACAAUCUGACUGUGUCCAAUUAGAUAGCACCCAAAUUCAAUACCCCGCAUUUUGACGCUCGAGGCACAUCUGAAGCGAUUGCAGUUGGAACACGAAUGAUACGGAACAGAUAUUAGGCCGUGGAAAAGUGGGAAGGCACGCAGUCUGAUUGACAGAAGCAUCUCAUGAACUGUGGGUCUCGGUAACAGAAGAAAGAUUUACAUUGCUGGUCCAUCCGGGCUAGGGAUCACAGAUUUUGGCAGCUAUGCCAUAAACGCACAAAAAGCCACCACCAGCAAUGAGUUGCAGCAUGGCACCAAUGUGCAGUUCAAAGAGUCCGAGGAGGAGAGCGAAAAUGAUAAAUAUGGCGAGAUUUGGGACAAUUAUGUACCAGAUGAGGGGGAGGCUAACAUUGAGGCACAUCCUACACGGAGAGAGUUUGGCCAGUGAGAGUCUGUCAGCAUUAUGAAAAAAUAUCGUAUCCUGCAUCUCCUGGACGUCUUUGUUAUGAAAGAACGCCGUGGAUUUGCAGAGCAGGUACAGCUGCAGUUUGAAAAAUGUAGUGAUCUCUGGCAGCUCUACAAUACGCAGAUGGCCGAUGGAGAGUGAAUGCCACGUCAGAACAACCUUCUCACAGAAGAUCGAGGAAGGCAAGUAUGAUCGACUGAGGACUUUGGGAUGCGAUCAGGAUUGCAAAUUCUCCAUCGAAGUAGCCGAUUUCCAAUCUGAGAGUGAGAGCACGUCGGACUAGGUUAAGAUUAGCAAAACACAUGCAUCCGCCAAUUUUGUAAAUAUAUGAAAUAAACCCAGUUUUGUAUA